GAAAUGCGAUAAGUAAUGUGAAUUGCAGAAUUCCGUGAAUCAUCGAAUCUUUGAACGCACAUUGCGCCCCCUGGCAUUCCGGGGGGCAUGCCUGUCCGAGCGUCAUUUCUGCCCUCAAGCGCGGCUUGUGUGUUGGGCGUGGUCCCUCCGGGGACCUGCCCGAAAGGCAGCGGCGACGCCUGUCCGGUCCUCGAGCGUAUGGGGCUCUGUCACUCGCUCGGGAGGGAUCGGCGGGGGUUGGUCACCACCACGUUUUCACCACGGUUGACCUCGGAUCAGGUAGGAGUUACCCGCUGAACUUAA
Molecule: unclassified non-coding RNA, 303 nt
Filed under: uncultured Aphanoascus
Lineage: Eukaryota; Fungi; Ascomycota; Eurotiomycetes; Onygenales; Onygenaceae
Description: sequence contains ITS1
Rfam family: 5.8S ribosomal RNA (bases 1-105)
Source: RNAcentral